Molecule: long non-coding RNA, 1892 nt
Organism: Entelurus aequoreus (snake pipefish)
Lineage: Eukaryota; Metazoa; Chordata; Actinopteri; Syngnathiformes; Syngnathidae
Exons: 5
Source: RefSeq, a predicted model, not a curated record
CGCCCACCUGCAUGGAGCUGUGGAAGAACAAGCCCAGACACGUCUCUUCACGGAGCCCAAGGAAAACACUUUACCGGACUCAUCACUCAUAUGGGAUGGCCCUGUAAAUUGUGCAGCACUGUUGUGCCAACCAAGAGUGAUUUUUUUAAAGCAUUACAGACUGCACCAUGGGACCUUUGGACACAGCCAUGCCUUGCCUUGCAUUCAUAUAAGUUGCCCAUGCAUGCUCUUUUAAAUGCUGGAGUUCCCUUCGCUCUCAUCUGUCAAGAUACCACCCAGAAAUCAAAUUCCUCAACUCACCUCAAGUAAGUCCUUCAUUCACCUGCCCUCUGUGUAAAAGGAUUGUGCCAGGAGCAUCAAUGAUAUGAUGGCCAGAACAUACAGUUGGAGAAGACAGGAAGUGGUUGCCAAGUCUCCUGCUGGGGUGGCAGAAUUUAAGGAAAGAUGGCCUGCCCUCUUCGAACCAUUCCAGAUUAAUGAAGAGUUCCGAAGGUGCACUGCUAUUCCACUGGAAUCAACAUUUAUGUCCCAGCUGGACAGGUACACUCCAAAACUCCUGGAGCUCUUCAGUGCAAAAGGUGGAGUGACUGGUCAGCGCAUCAAGAACUUGUUGAUGGAACUGAUACAGGACCCAAGUGCCUCUGCAGUGAUGAAGAGAGAUGUGACUCUUGAGAUGUGUCAUAGAGUACAUGGGAGAGAGUGGACAGGAGCUCAUCUCUGACUACUGUGGAACUGCAUAGACCACUGUUCAUGAGGACCUGGAAAUGAAGAAUAUGAGCAUCUACAUCUGUCGUGAGCCAAAUGCAGUAGGAAUCAUCAUUGAGGGAGUACCAGUCCUUACUCAUCUUGGAAACCUGGCCAAAGCAUGCUGCCUACUUCUGGGGUUGACGUAUGCACUUAAUCUUGAGUAUCCAUCCAAACCGAGCCAUGACUGUCAGCUUGCACUUUUGAACAGCUAUUUUCUUGUGUCUGUUCAAAAUCAUUAUACAUUGUUCAUUGAGUGGAAUUCUUCAGAAUGUUGUCCUGUUCAGGUUUUAUACAAAGCUCCAGGUCAUCGUUUCUGCUGUGUAAAUUAAGUUUUUUUUAUGUUUUAUACACACUAAAUUGCCCCACUGUGAAGCUCCAGCUGGUCAGAAGGAGGGAUCUGUGAGUUGUUUAAGUUAAAAUGUUUCAAAAUAUACACACUGAAAGACACUAUGGUGAAGGUGUUCUGCUUGUGAAUUGUUACAGAAGUACAGAUAAUCUUAAUGUUAAAUUGUUUUAGCAAGAAACUGUACUGUGAAGGUUCUAAGUAAAACUUGAGAUGCUGAGGUCAUGCAUUCUUUUAUGCACUAAAUAAGUGAAGUGAAUUACAUUUAUAUAGCGCUUUUUCUCAAGUGACUCAAAGCGCUUUACAUUGUGAAACCCAAUAUCUAAGUUACAUUUUAAACCAGUGUGGGUGGCACUGGGAGCAGGUAGGUAAUGUGUCUUGCCCAAGGACACAACGGCAGUGACUAGGAUGGCGGAAGCGGAAUCGAACCUGCAACCCUCAAGUUGCUGGCACGGCCGCUCUACCAACUGAGUUAUACCGUAUACUGAUGUUCUUGACUGUUAACACUCUCCAGCUUAUUGACACGGUUUGAAUAUGGCUUGUGGAAAUGUUUUAAUAAUAUGUAUACGGUUACAAAAAGAAAACUACUGUGAAGGUGUUCUAUACAGCACUUUAAAAAGUUGAGGUCAUGCAUUCUAUGCACUAAAUAUGGAUGUUGACUGUUCAUACUGUCCAGCUCAUUGCCACUGUUUUUAUAUGGUAAUGAUUUAAUAAAGGUUGGAAUUUGAUAUGUCUUGAUUUUUUUAUUAUUAUUCUAAGUAAUUAUUUUAAGCAGUUUCUAUUUUCAAAACAAAGAAAGGGU